UUCUCCUGGAUGGGAAAUGCUAUUAUUUUUCAAAAGAGAAUAAAACAUUUAAUGAAAGUAUUAAUAUUUGUAAAUCGUGGAACUCUUCACUGGUGUCAGUGGUGGAAAAAGACAGCGCUUUACAGGCCAUUAUUAUGAUAGCAUCCCACAAUUACUGGAUCCACGCAGCAGGUGGAAACGAGAACAAGUCAGAUGUCACAGGAAAAUGUACAGAAUUUAGUGCUCGUGUGAAGAUGAGAAAUUGCUCUGAAAUGAGUCGUUGGAUCUGUGAGAAAUCACCGAUAAAGAGUUAAAAUUAUCUCCGCUGGAUUAUCGAUUAUUAACUAAAACUGGACGUCUUCUACUAAAUGCUGCCGAAAACCCACCCCCUUCCAAUCCUUCUACCCCUCUGUAUGACGGAAACCAAUCGGCUUCAUUAAUCACUAAUUGUAUGUUUUUUUUCCUCAAUAAAGCAAAGUGAUUUUA
This is a long non-coding RNA of Pelobates fuscus (common spadefoot toad), 465 nucleotides long. RefSeq lists it as uncharacterized. The record is from RefSeq and is a predicted model, not a curated record. NCBI's taxonomy places the organism in Eukaryota, Metazoa, Chordata, Amphibia, Anura, Pelobatidae. The transcript has 3 exons.